GGGAAGGGGGCGGGGAAAGGGGCGGGGCCUGGGGGAACGGGCAGGAGGGGCCGAAGGCAGGGAGCACGUGGAGGAGGAGGAAGGGGGAGGAGGGAUCCGGUGGAUCCCCGUGCGGCGGCGGCGGCGGCGCGGGAUCUGCUCGGGCAAUGGAAUCAGAUUCCGUGAUCCCAAGAAAUCCUGGUGUUGGAAUGGGGCUUCCUCUUUAAGCAGUGGAAGGAGAAAUACCUCAUCCUCUCGCUGGACGGGAGCCUCCUCGUCUGCCCGGACGCCAACUCCCCGGCCGAGCUGGACCUUCCCCUGGCUGCCAGCUGUGAAGCCAUCCUGGAGGGCAGCGAGAUCGGCGACCUUCCCCGGCUGCCGCUGGGGGCCCAGAGGGACAGCUGCCUGGGGCUGGACCUUCGCGACGGGAAGAGCCUGCUGCUGCUCGCCUCCAGCAGCCAGGAAUGCAGAGUGUCUCUCAGGGGUCUCCCUCCAGUUGCAAGCUCCAUAUCAACUCGCCAGUGAGAAAAUGUCACGGGAAAGGAGGAGGAGGGAAUGGCAGAGCAUCUCCUAAUGGCACAGAGAUACGAGAAGCUGCCUGUUCCCCGCAUUGCUUACGCCACGGAUCCCCGGCCCGCGCAGGAGUGAGGGCAGCUUGCGUCUUGAUGGGCGGUGCCGCUGCUGGCCCCACCAUGGGCUACAUGGUCACCUCGUCCACAGCGGGGCACCCUGUGGAAUCACACCCGCCAGACUUCAAGGAAUUGGGCUACCACCCGUCUGCCUGCAACUCCGAAUCUCAGUACGAAGCCCUGGAUUAUGAGGGGCUGGAUCAGGACUUCGAUAUGCUAGAUUUGGGAGGGUUUGCCUUUUAAGGUACAAGGUGGCAUCCCCCAAAUGGCAGCUCUAAAGGGCUUAAGUUGAGAAAAUGGCCGGCCUCUUUGCCUGGCAUCAUGCACCAUCCAUGGCAAGGAGACACUGCAUGGCAUGGUCUCUGGUACGUUGUCUUAAAAGGUUGGUGUUCAUGUUGUUGUUUGUCUGAUCCUAAUGUCUUUGUGAUCAAGAUAAUGGGAUAGGGUGUUACAUUCCAACUCGCCGGAGGGAUCCGAGAAGGGCAUGUGUUUCCUCCCUGUUCUCUGUGUUCUUCCUCCUUCUCUAUUAAACACUGUCUCUUUUUCACCUGCUGGUCUCGAGGUGUUAAUAAGCAACAGACGUGGGCUGUAGCUACCCACCUCCCUAGAAUAACCUUAGAGCCAAAAGGAAAAAAAACCCAGCUUGUCUCCCAUCGCAUGGGCAAGGUGGUCCACAGCC
Molecule: long non-coding RNA, 1287 nt
Filed under: Pogona vitticeps (central bearded dragon)
Lineage: Eukaryota; Metazoa; Chordata; Lepidosauria; Squamata; Agamidae
Description: lncRNA (ENSPVIG00000020499.1)
Source: RNAcentral